AGGGUUUUAGAAAGCCGGGGCUUUUAGUUUAAGAUCCUCUGAGGGGUUUAGACGCUGAGAUAGAGAGUUGGGAGUGAAGGAAAAUACAAAGCUCUUUGUUUUCCUGUGAUUGAACACAAUGGCGACGGCACUGAACGUUCCUCCAACAACUCCUAUUCCGACGCCGCAGCAGAUGAAGAAAGAGGAAGAGAAAGUGGAUUACUUGAACCUCCCUUGUCCUAUUCCUUACGAGGAGAUCCACCGUGAAGCUCUCAUGUCUUUAAAGCCAGAACUAUUUGAAGGGAUGCGCUUUGAUUUUACCAAGGGACUCAAUCCGAAGUUCUCACUAAGUCACAGUGUGUUCAUGGGACCAAUGGAGAUUCCUUCACAAUCUUCUGAAACCAUCAAAAUCCCUACCGCUCACUAUGAAUUUGGUGCGAACUUUAUUGACCCAAAGUUGAUGCUUUUUGGGAGAAUAAUGACUGAUGGGAGGCUCAAUGCAAGACUGAAGUGUGAUUUAACUGAAAAUCUUUCAUUGAAGGCUAAUGCUCAGCUUACAAAUGAGCCACAUAUGUCACAUGGCAUGACUACUUUUGAUUACAAGGGUAAAGACUACAGGACCCAGUUUCAACUAGGAAAUGGUGCCUUAUUUGGAGCAAAUUAUAUUCAGAGUGUGACCCCGCAUUUGUCUUUUGGUGGUGAAGUGUUUUGGGCUGGUCAGCAUCGGAAGUCUGGUAUUGGUUAUGCCGCUCGAUACAAUACGGAUAAGAUGGUUGCCACAGGUCAAGUUGCAAGUACAGGAUUGGUUGCUCUGAGCUAUGUUCAGAAGGUAUCGGAGAAGGUUUCUCUAGCAUCGGACUUCAUGUACAACUACAUGUCAAGAGAUGUCACAGCCAGUUUUGGUUAUGAUUACAUCCUUCGACAGGCCUUGUGAAAAGAAAUCAAUGUUCCAAAUGGCGGACAUGUUGGAGUAUUACAGAGAGACCGAGUUGACAUGGAAUUUGGGAUUGAAAUAUAGUUGUAUGUGAAGCUACAGAUUCUGAGACAUGUUGCUUUGCAGUCCCUUAUGUCACCAUUUUAUAAUUGUCUGGGCUCAUUGUACUUAGAAUGCUUAACAUUCUUCUUGCUGCUAUAUCCUCCAAGCAAAGCUUAAAUCUUUAUUUGGUUUAUUAGAUCUUUCAUUCUCUUAUUAAAGAAAAAAAAAAAGAAGGAAAUCUGUCAUUUGUUACUUCGCAUUUAACUCGUACUUUAGAAAAGCCAAUUUCAUAAAGAAGAUAACUCUCGCUGACCUCCAGAUAGAUCACAAAAGAAAUUCUGAGGGGCUUGCAGCUGCAAGAUCAAUUUUAUAGUUCUAUCUAUACACAAUUUAGUCAGUUGAGAGCUCAGAUUAUCACUAUAGAAUGGCAGAAUAAGAUCUCAUUUGGAUGUUAGGUUGUUCAAUCAACAAGGCUAUAGUUUACUACCAGGACUUGCAUCAUGAAGAAAAGUAUAUGCCCCGGGGUCUGGGCUCAAGCGUUAAGGGGUGGGGUGGGGUUUGUGUAAUCUGAGGUUCAAUUUUUCCUGAAAAAGGAUACACACACACACACACACACACACACA
Molecule: RNA transcript, 1578 nt
Organism: Alnus glutinosa
Lineage: Eukaryota; Viridiplantae; Streptophyta; Magnoliopsida; Fagales; Betulaceae
Gene name: mitochondrial import receptor subunit TOM40-1
Exons: 11
Source: RefSeq, a predicted model, not a curated record